GGCUCCAUGGUCAAGAGGUUAAGACAUCGCCCUUUCACGGCGGUAACUCGGGUUCAAUUCCCGAUGGAGUCA
RNAcentral lists this transfer RNA (72 nucleotides) under Candidatus Minthocola equi. Its description in RNAcentral is "tRNA-Glu". It matches the Rfam family "tRNA". Rfam says of the family: Transfer RNA (tRNA) molecules are approximately 80 nucleotides in length. The record is from RNAcentral. Lineage: Bacteria; Bacillati; Bacillota; Clostridia; Lachnospirales; Lachnospiraceae.